CCAGUGUGGAGACCCCAGGAGGUCACCCUCCCUGGGCUCUGUCCAGGUGGUGCAAGGGAGCAUAACGCUUUGCCCAGGGAGGUACAGUCCCUUUCCCAACAUUGGAGAUGAAGCUGGCCUAAAGCAUAUGCCUGCAUAGUCCUGCAGCUUCUCAGAAUCCUAUGGAAAAUGACUGAGAAGACAAACCAUACAGGAAGCAGCU
Molecule: small nucleolar RNA, 202 nt
Filed under: Dasypus novemcinctus (nine-banded armadillo)
Lineage: Eukaryota; Metazoa; Chordata; Mammalia; Cingulata; Dasypodidae
Description: Small nucleolar RNA SNORA73 family (ENSDNOG00000026970.2)
Rfam family: Small nucleolar RNA SNORA73 family
About the family: U17 (SNORA73A and SNORA73B) also known as E1 belongs to the H/ACA class of small nucleolar RNAs (snoRNAs). Vertebrate U17 is intron-encoded and ranges in length from 200-230 nucleotides, longer than most snoRNAs.
Source: RNAcentral